RNAcentral lists this transfer RNA (66 nucleotides) under Bothrops pubescens. Its description in RNAcentral is "tRNA-Pro". The record is from RNAcentral. Lineage: Eukaryota; Metazoa; Chordata; Lepidosauria; Squamata; Viperidae.
CAGAGAGUAGUUUAAGUAGUAAAAUGCUGGCUUUGGGGGCCAGGGAUGGGUAAAGCCCUGUCCUAA